UAGGGAAUCUUCGGCAAUGGGGGGAACCCUGACCGAGCAACGCCGCGUGAGUGAAGAAGGUUUUCGGAUCGUAAAGCUCUGUUGUUAAGGAAGAACGAGUGUGAGAAUGGAAAGUUCAUACUGUGACGGUACUUAACCAGAAAGGGACGGCUAACUACGUGCCAGCAGCCGCGGUAAUACGUAGGUCCCGAGCGUUGUCCGGAUUUAUUGGGCGUAAAGCGAGCGCAAGCGGUUAGAUAAGUCUGAAGUUAAAGGCAGUGGCUCAACCAUUGUAGGCUUUGGAAACUGUUUAACUUGAGUGCAGAAGGGGAGAGUGGAAUUCCAUGUGUAGCGGUGAAAUGCGUAGAUAUAUGGAGGAACACCGGUGGCGAAAGCGGCUCUCUGGUCUGUAACUGACGCUGAGGCUCGAAAGCGUGGGGAGCGAACAGG
RNAcentral lists this ribosomal RNA (429 nucleotides) under Bacteroidota bacterium. RNAcentral's name for it is "Bacteroidetes bacterium partial 16S ribosomal RNA". It matches the Rfam family "Bacterial small subunit ribosomal RNA", at positions 355 to 776 of the family's 1533-position model. Lineage: Bacteria; Pseudomonadati; Bacteroidota. The record is from RNAcentral.